UACAGAGGGUGCGAGCGUUAAUCGGAAUUACUGGGCGUAAAGCGUGCGUAGGCGGUCGUGUAAGUCGGGUGUGAAAGCCCCGGGCUCAACCUGGGAAUUGCAUUCGAGACUGCACGGCUGGAGUGCGGAAGAGGGAAGCGGAAUUUCCGGUGUAGCGGUGAAAUGCGUAGAUAUCGGAAGGAACAUCAGUGGCGAAAGCGGCUUCCUGGUCCAGCACUGACGCUCAGGCACGAAAGCAUGGGGAGCAAACAGG
RNAcentral lists this ribosomal RNA (253 nucleotides) under uncultured bacterium. RNAcentral's name for it is "partial 16S ribosomal RNA". It matches the Rfam family "Bacterial small subunit ribosomal RNA", at positions 524 to 776 of the family's 1533-position model. The record is from RNAcentral.